GCCAGCACCUAUAUCACCCUGCAGCUCACAACUGGCAGCCCACUGAAGCUCAGCAGGUGUGAAGCCUGGUCAGUACCUGGAUGGGAGACUCCUGGGAAAAACUAAGGUUGCUGCUGGAA
This 119-nucleotide ribosomal RNA is filed under the name Lepisosteus oculatus (spotted gar). Lineage: Eukaryota; Metazoa; Chordata; Actinopteri; Semionotiformes; Lepisosteidae. The record is from RNAcentral.